This 1290-nucleotide long non-coding RNA is filed under the name Coturnix japonica (Japanese quail). Its description in RNAcentral is "lncRNA (ENSCJPG00005010098.1)". The record is from RNAcentral. Lineage: Eukaryota; Metazoa; Chordata; Aves; Galliformes; Phasianidae.
CAGUUCACUACCAAUACCCAGAUAUAAGAGCAUGACAGAAGAUAAAGCAGGGAGAAAUGAAGGUGGAAAAAAGGCUGUGUCACUGGAAGAGAGGAACAUUAAUGACACAAGACAACAGUGUCAUCUCCUACUACAGAAUCAGUCUUGAAGAAAGAAAAAUAUCAAAGAGGUUGUUCAAAAUAAAUCAAAAGCCUUGGCCAAGUUGGCUGGCUGCGUGGCAGAUAUUUAUUGCCUCACACAGUCCUUAUAGAGGGACAACAACUGGCACCAAUUGCUUAGAUAUAAAUUAAAAAAGGUACUUCCAGCAAAAGAAAACAAAUAACAGUGUUCAAUAUUUUCUUGCUGGUUAAGGUAGAAACUGCCUCUAGAGCAGAGGGAACACAAAAAGAGGAUGUGUUUAAAUCACAGCGUUCAGCUCUGAAUUCUACUCUCAGUCAACACUAUUGUCAAUUAAAUAUGUAUGUAUAUGUAGCUAUUUCAUUUUUAUUGCAUUUCAUGUAUUAUCUUAUUCAGGAUACACGCUUUAUCAUUUUUAAGGGCCAGUUCUGUUUGGAAGAAUUUGUUCUCAGGUUCAGUGUUCAGCAAUUUUUGGGGCUGCAUCUGGAGCCACGUAAGACAUGAACCCCCAGUCACUACCACCACCGUAAAGCAUAAGGCAGUGAUAGUAUUUCCAUGCAUAGCAAUGCCCUUCUGAUCUAAGGUCCAGACACAUGAGGCUAAGUAGCACUUGGGGAUAACUCCUAGCUCCCCUUCUAGGGGUCAUGAACUCACAGUAUUCUUAGGUAGAGAUGGCUCCUACUGCAGGUACCAUCAUCUCCAGCUUAUGCCUUUUGCCAAGCACAUGGUCUCAGUGCUCAUCAGAGCCAAAUAUCACCCAAGCAUUCACAAGCUUUUAAAGUUUAGUGUAUUUGGAUUAGUAAAGGCUGUGUUUUUAACCUUUACAUCAGUAAUUAACAGACUUUUGCAAUCUGCUCUGCUAAAUAUGUAAUUUAUAGUUAAACAAACUUCAUUUUUUGAGAGAAACUAAGUGCAAGAGUAACAAAUAUGGCCAUGUAGCUAUCCUCAAGCAAAAGCUAAGAAAGAUUUACAAAGUUUAGCAAAGGUCAUAUAUCUCCCACAGUAUACAUUUAUGGUUUCCAGGGUAAGGCCAGAGGGAACAACACAACACAAUCUUCUAUUCUGAGCUACUCUGUGACAGCUUUAGACCCUUUUACUCAGUGCAGCAGGGAAGAUUCUCCUUCCUUAGUAUGUACCAACAUUUAAGUUAUUUAAACUGUCAUUGAACGAGGU